AGGACGAACGCUGGCGGCGUGCUUAACACAUGCAAGUCGAGCGGAAAGGCCCUUCGGGGUACUCGAGCGGCGAACGGGUGAGUAACACGUGAGUAAUCUGCCCCUAGCUCUGGGAUAGCUCCGGGAAACCGGGAUUAAUACUGGAUACGACCACCUUAGACAUCUUUUGUGGUGGAAAGUAAUUUCGGCUAGGGAUGAGCUCGCGGCCUAUCAGCUUGGUUGGUGGGUAACGCCUACCAAGGCGACGACGGGUA
RNAcentral lists this ribosomal RNA (254 nucleotides) under uncultured bacterium. RNAcentral describes it as "partial small subunit ribosomal RNA". It matches the Rfam family "Bacterial small subunit ribosomal RNA", at positions 26 to 285 of the family's 1533-position model. The record is from RNAcentral.